UACAGAGGUCUCAAGCGUUGUUCGGAUUCAUUGGGCGUAAAGGGUGCGUAGGCGGCGCGGUAAGUCGGGUGUGAAAUCUCGGAGCUUAACUCCGAAACUGCAUUCGAUACUGCCGUGCUUGAGGACUGGAGAGGAGACUGGAAUUUACGGUGUAGCGGUGAAAUGCGUAGAUAUCGGGAGGAACACCAGUGGCGAAGGCGGCAUCCUGGCCCUGUCCUGACGCUCAGGGGCGAAAGCGUGGGGAGCAAACCGG
This 253-nucleotide ribosomal RNA is filed under the name uncultured bacterium. RNAcentral describes it as "partial 16S ribosomal RNA". It matches the Rfam family "Bacterial small subunit ribosomal RNA", at positions 524 to 776 of the family's 1533-position model. The record is from RNAcentral.